GUUCAUGAAAGUUGGACAUCUUUAAAAAGUAUGUUCACAUAAGGAAACACUGUUUUAAAACAUUGAGACAGACCAGUGAAGGUCAAACAGAGACCAGUGAAGGUCAAAGACCAGUGAAGGUCAAACAGAGACCAGUGAAGGUCAAACACUGAAUGAUGAUGAAAACCUGAAACAAACAUCACUGAGAUAAAAAACAAAACCUGAA
This is a long non-coding RNA of Solea solea (common sole), 205 nucleotides long. RefSeq lists it as uncharacterized. The transcript is spliced from 3 exons. The record is from RefSeq and is a predicted model, not a curated record. Lineage: Eukaryota; Metazoa; Chordata; Actinopteri; Pleuronectiformes; Soleidae.